AUUCCAGCUCCAAUAGCGAAUACUAAUUCUGCUGCAGUUAAAAAGCUCGUAGUUGAACUUCUGGUAGGACAGAUCCGGCCUUUGGAUGAAUGUCCAUUGUAUGCUGUGUGUCUUGUCUGGCCAUCCUUUAUGUCUUUUAGGCGUAAUCUUUCACUGUAAAAAAAUUAGGGUGUUUCAAGCAAAAGUUAUUUGGAAUAUAUUAGUAUGGGAUGAUAAGAUAGGCUCUUGAGUGCUACUUUGUUGGUUUAUACACUUAGAGAAUGAUUAACAGGGACAGUUGGGGGUAUUCGUAUUCCAUUGUCAGAGGUGAAAUUCUUGGAUUUAUGGAAGACGAACUACUGCGAAAGCAUUUACCAAGGAUGUUUUCAUCG
This 371-nucleotide ribosomal RNA is filed under the name Thraustochytriidae sp. RNAcentral describes it as "Thraustochytriaceae sp. partial small subunit ribosomal RNA". It matches the Rfam family "Eukaryotic small subunit ribosomal RNA", at positions 582 to 975 of the family's 1831-position model. The record is from RNAcentral. Lineage: Eukaryota; Bigyra; Thraustochytrida; Thraustochytriidae.